This 303-nucleotide ribosomal RNA is filed under the name uncultured Fusobacterium sp. RNAcentral's name for it is "bacterial SSU rRNA". It matches the Rfam family "Bacterial small subunit ribosomal RNA", at positions 1212 to 1513 of the family's 1533-position model. The record is from RNAcentral. Lineage: Bacteria; Fusobacteriati; Fusobacteriota; Fusobacteriia; Fusobacteriales; Fusobacteriaceae.
GGCUACACAUGUGCUACAAUGGGUAGUACAGAGAGUCGCAAAGCCGCGAGGUGGAGCUAAUCUCAGAAAACUAUUCUUAGUUCGGAUUGUACUCUGCAACUCGAGUACAUGAAGUUGGAAUCGCUAGUAAUCGCGAAUCAGCAAUGUCGCGGUGAAUACGUUCUCGGGUCUUGUACACACCGCCCGUCACACCACGAGAGUUGGUUGCACCUGAAGUAGCAGGCCUAACCGUAAGGAGGGAUGCUCCGAGGGUGUGAUUAGCGAUUGGGGUGAAGUCGUAACAAGGUAUCCGUACGGGAACGU